AUCUGCCACCUCUACCCUGCCACGCAGUCUCACCUUUAGAUUUAAAGAUGAUCAAACUGUUUUCUUGUGGUGCUUAUUCUGCAAACACACCCAUUUGCAUUAUACAAGCCGAAUGCCAUUGCAUUUUCUCCUUUUGUUUCUGCACUUCCCUGUUCCAGCCUAUUUAUUUUUUUAUGGGAUUUUCACCUCUUUCCAACUUCUAAUUUAAAAUGAAUUCAUGCACCUGUCCUUCCAGCAGAGAACUAUUGAGAUAUGUUAACUAAACCCUUAGUUAGAUGAAAGAGUCAUUUUUUGUAUGGCUAUAAACCAUAGUCAAAGAGAAAAAAGUCAACGGGAAGCUUUAACACAGAGUCACCCAGGGUGCCCUUUUUUUCCCCUUAUUCCUGUGGAGAAAAAAUAGGAGAUUUUGGACAGUGACUCAUCAGAUCAAAUGUAGCCAAUCACCUUAAUUGAAAUUAAUUGCACCCAGUCUCCACGGCUUAUAUUGACUCUACAGGAAGUAUCUAAUGAUGGGCUCAGAGGGCUGCAUCGAUAUUUAACCAGGAUGAAAACAGAUUUUCCCCACCCAGACCCCCCUAGGCUGGGCUGGGCGCUGCUACAAGGUCUGCAAAUGAAGCUGGAGGCCAGGACACGAAAUGCCUCACCCAGAGCAGCAGAGAAAGACAAAGAAACCUGAGCAAUGAGGGAGUAAUGAGUGCCAGCCAUUAGGAAAGAGCAUUGUUCCACAUCAGGUGGGUCAGGUUUAAAAUAACUGGUUUCCCCAUGUGUUUCCUGAGAUGGAGAAGGCAUGCUUAGUCUUUGUUGCCGUCUGCUGGAUCUUCCAGUAGCACUCAUGGUUUCUUCUGUCCAGGUCCUGGAGAGAAGACAUUUUCCCAAGUUACUAUGGAGAUGGCUGCGAUGCAGACAGCAAGCACAAGGGAAGGAACAGUAUUUGGAGCAGAUGGAUGCAUACGAGUUGGUUGUACUUCAUCUUUGCAGAACCUCAGAAUUUCUGAAGUUGGAGGCAUCUCUGGAGAUAUCUCAUCGAACCCUCUGCUCAAGCUGGCUGCCCCGGGCUACAUCCAGUCAGGUUUUGAAUAUAUCAUAGGAUGGAGACUUCACAAACUCUCUGAACAACUCAUGUUAAUCGAAAGCUUUUUUCUUAGGUGCAAGUGGAAUUUCCUGUUUUUCAGUUUGUACCCACUGCCUCUUGUUUUGCCUCUUGGCAUUAAAAAGAGCCUGGCCCCAUCUUCUUUGCAUCCUCCCAUCAGCUAUUGGUACAUGUUGAUAAGAUUCCCCUGA
RNAcentral lists this long non-coding RNA (1281 nucleotides) under Anas platyrhynchos platyrhynchos (common mallard). RNAcentral describes it as "lncRNA (ENSAPLG00000027832.1)". Lineage: Eukaryota; Metazoa; Chordata; Aves; Anseriformes; Anatidae. The record is from RNAcentral.